RNAcentral lists this long non-coding RNA (2455 nucleotides) under Nicotiana tabacum (common tobacco). Its description in RNAcentral is "long non-coding RNA (NTAB_LNC016307)". The record is from RNAcentral. Lineage: Eukaryota; Viridiplantae; Streptophyta; Magnoliopsida; Solanales; Solanaceae.
CUGGCUGGAAACCGGUGAUCCGCUACAAUAUAUGAAGGUAAUCCACUCCCGUAUAGUCUCACAUAGCAUGCGGGUAAGCUACACGUAUACCAUCAACAUGCAGCCUAAAAAGAACCUUCACGUCCUCAAGCGUGGUGGUAGCCCGCUGAUGGGUAGAUGAACGUGUGCGUCUCUGGUCGCUAUCACUCUGUCAUAGCCGUGAUCAACGCCCAGUCAAACUUCAUCCGACCGAUCUUAUUGAUCCUGUAGAAACCUGUAUCAUGAAGGCAUCUAACUAUACAGGGAUGUAGUAGGUGGUCCCUAAUAAAAUCCCACAUAUCGUCUAUACGUCUGGGCGGAAUGUCUGGGGCAGACACGACCCAUCCCAGAUGUGUGAAGACCUAUGGUUUCCCUGUAGCAACAGUAGCUCUCGAGAUGCAGGCCCGAGAUGCACAAGGGAAACCUUCAUGACGAUGUCUAUAAAUUGAACAAUAUUAGUUAAAUUUUUUUAAUUGUUUAACAUCUUUAAAUAUAUUACAAUAUAUUUUAUAUUAAUAUUUAAUUUAUAUUUUUUCUAUAUUAUUACUUAGGUUGAUGCAUUUUCUAUAUUUAGUUUAUUAUAUUAUUUUAUAUGUUUGCUUCUUACUCAGCUAUUUUUGGGUAUACUCAGUUUGACAAAUUUUCUAUAUUGUUAUUUUUUAUGUUAUAUUCUUAAAAUUAUUGACUAAAUUUAAGAGGUUUUGUGUUUGAACUAUCAUUAUUUUUUUCAGAUAUUUUUGGGGUUAACAGAUAAUUAAAUAUUUAAUUUCAAUAACUACAAAGGUUAAUUAGCAAUUAUUCAAUAAUUAAUCAUAUAUAAAAUACAACAAACUUAAUAGUACAUAUUAUUGAAUUUAUUUCAUUCGUAACGAUAUGUUUGUUAACUUUCAUAUUUUGCCCAAAUUUUCCGGCAAAUGAUUUAUUUUAUGAUUCAUAUCUAAUAUUUGAUAAUUAUCUAUUGAUACAUUAAAUUCAUAAUUGAGCACUCUAUCCGGAUAUGUUAAGGAGAGCACCUAGUUUUUAUUCUACACAAUGAAUCUUAAAAAACACUAAAAUAAUACUACUCUAAACGGACGUGAACAAAGUCAAUUACCAUAAGCUAAAAUUUAUUAUCAGUUUUACUACGCAAAAGGGUACUACAUAACAAUUAAGGGCACAAUAUAACAUUAAAAGACACUAACAACAAUAUUCACAUAUUAAUAUAUGUACAACAAUAAAAUCACAUAUAACAAUAAUAAUUCAUAAAAUAACAAUAUAUCUUUUUUAUUAAUUUUUUAGCACAUAAAUAAUCUAAUUCGAAUAAAAAUAAUAAACUAAUUAAAUCACAAAACGAUAACAAAAAACAUAGCCCACAGUAAAUAACAACUAAUAAGCAUUUUAUAUACAUGAGUUUUACCAAAAAAAAAGUUGGAAUACCUCGAUUUAAAAUUUUUUGAAAUCUGAAAAUUUGAUGAUUUGGGGGACGAAACGAGUAAUAGACGGGAUCCACUACACGACAACGCCUUAGAUCCGGUGUUAGCUUGCUACAAUAUGGAGUUUUUUGCUUUAAAAUUGGGGGGGGGGGAACCGAUUUUGGUCUGCUGAUUCGCGUUCUGGCCGGGGAAGGAAGCAUCACGUUUUUUUAUAUAGGUAUAACACAUAUAUAGGAGGCGCUAUAUUAUAGCGCCCCUGCAUAUGCGCUUUACCUCCCGCCAAUUUUGAGUUUAAAUAUAGCGCGGUUAUUCACCGCGCUAUACCUUAAUAGACAAACGCGCCAUUAAGGUAUAACACGGUGAAUAACUGCGCUAUAUAUAAAAUGGUAGUCAGUUUAUUUUCCACCUAUUUAUGCCGUUUGAGUCCAAGAAGACCACAAUUAGGUUUCGUUCUCCAAUCUUUUAUCACUCUCGUAAUAUGUUUUUAGUUUUUACCAGUCGACUUAUAUACAAUUUUUUCAGGUAGCAAGCAAAAAAGUCUAAUAGUCUAUUUGGCCAAGCUUCUUUUUGGCGAAAAGUGAUUUUUUGGCCAAGCUUUUGGAAGGAAAAAAAAUGCUUUUGAGGAGAAGCAGAAGCAAAAAAAAGUAGUUUCUCUCCAAAAACACUUUUCUGAUAAGCACUUUUGAGAAAAAUACAUUUAGAAGCAGUUUUUUAAAGCUUGGUCAAACACUAAUUGCUGCUCAAAAGUGCUUUUCAAACUAAUUAGCCAAACACAAACUGCUUAUCACCAAAAGUACUUUUGAGAAAAAUACUUUUAAAAAAAAGUAUUUCUCAAAAUAAGCUAAUUUUUGAGGCUUGGCCAAACGGGCUAUAAAUAUUGUUACCAUUCUUUUCCUUUACAUAGUUAAACAGGAAACAUGAAAUCCAAUAGGUCUUACAGUUGUUCAAACUGUGACUUGCUGAUCACCAAUUUGUCUGUUGUGACAAUCGUAGCUCCUACCUUGAUUUCCGAGCCUCAAUCAUAU